RNAcentral lists this ribosomal RNA (398 nucleotides) under uncultured bacterium. RNAcentral's name for it is "bacterial SSU rRNA". It matches the Rfam family "Bacterial small subunit ribosomal RNA", at positions 358 to 773 of the family's 1533-position model. The record is from RNAcentral.
GGAAUAUUGGACAAUGGGCGCAAGCCUGAUCCAGCCAUGCCGCGUGAGUGAUGAAGGCCUUAGGGUUGUAAAGCUCUUUUACCCGGGAUGAUAAUGACAGUACCGGGAGAAUAAGCCCCGGCUAACUCCGUGCCAGCAGCCGCGGUAAUACGGAGGGGGCUAGCGUUGUUCGGAAUUACUGGGCGUAAAGCGCACGUAGGCGGAUUAGUCAGUCAGAGGUGAAAUCCCAGGGCUCAACCUUGGAACUGCCUUUGAUACUGCUAGUCUAGAGUUCGAGAGAGGUGAGUGGAAUUCCGAGUGUAGAGGUGAAAUUCGUAGAUAUUCGGAGGAACACCAGUGGCGAAGGCGGCUCACUGGCUCGAUACUGACGCUGAGGUGCGAAAGCGUGGGGAGCAAAC